This 405-nucleotide ribosomal RNA is filed under the name uncultured bacterium. RNAcentral's name for it is "partial 16S ribosomal RNA". It matches the Rfam family "Bacterial small subunit ribosomal RNA", at positions 30 to 526 of the family's 1533-position model. The record is from RNAcentral.
AUUGAACGCUGGCGGCAGGCCUAACACAUGCAAGUCGAGCGCGUGGCGGACGUGUGAGUAAUGUUUGGGAAUGUACCCUAUAGAGGGGGAUAACUACGGGAAACUGUAGCUUAUACCGCAUACUCUGGGCUGCGCCCAAGUGGGAUUAGAUAGUUGGUGAGGUAAAGGCUCACCAAGCCGACGAUCUCUAGCUGGUCUGAGAGGAUGACCAGCCACACUGGGACUGAGACACGGCCCAGACUCCUACGGGAGGCAGCAGUGGGGAAUAUUGCGCAAUGGGGGCAACCUGACGCAGCCAUGCCGCGUGUAUGAAGAAGGCCUUAGGGUUGUAAAGUACUUUCGGUAGCGAGGCGUUAACUACAGAAGAAGCACCGGCUAACUCCGUGCCAGCAGCCGCGGUAAUAC